RNAcentral lists this transfer RNA (28 nucleotides) under Artocarpus excelsus. RNAcentral describes it as "partial tRNA-Phe". The record is from RNAcentral. Lineage: Eukaryota; Viridiplantae; Streptophyta; Magnoliopsida; Rosales; Moraceae.
GUCGGGAUAGCUCAGCUGUAGAGCAAGA